RNAcentral lists this ribosomal RNA (161 nucleotides) under uncultured bacterium. RNAcentral's name for it is "partial 16S rRNA". It matches the Rfam family "Bacterial small subunit ribosomal RNA", at positions 358 to 511 of the family's 1533-position model. The record is from RNAcentral.
GGAAUCUUCCACAAUGGGCGCAAGCCUGAUGGAGCAACGCCGCGUGAGUGAAGAAGGUCUUCGGAUCGUAAAACUCUGUUGUUAGAGAAGAACAUGCAGGAGAGUAACUGUUCUUGUAUUGACGGUAUCUAACCAGAAAGCCACGGCUAACUACGUGCUAG